RNAcentral lists this long non-coding RNA (4672 nucleotides) under Panax ginseng (ginseng). RNAcentral's name for it is "long non-coding RNA (PGIN_LNC018380)". Lineage: Eukaryota; Viridiplantae; Streptophyta; Magnoliopsida; Apiales; Araliaceae. The record is from RNAcentral.
GUUGGAGUUAUUGUCAGAAGCUCUUGGUCUCCAUCCAAACUACCUUAACAACAUUGAUUGUGGUGAGGGGCUUGGUGUUCUAGGCCACUAUUAUCCGGUGUGCCCGCAACCAGAAGUGACUUUAGGCACCUGCAAGCAUGCUGAUAAUGAUUUUCUUACUGUGCUUCUCCAAGAUCAUAUUGGAGGCCUCCAAGUUGUUCAUCAGAAUCAGUGGGUUGAUGUACCCCCAAUCCCUGGAGCUCUAGUUGUCAACAUUGGAGAUGUUUUACAGGCAAGUCACGUUAAUUUUGAAUUUUAAGAUAUCCCAAAUCGACUUCAGAAAGUCAAGUAGACUAUAUAGCUAUUAUUAACAUUAACAAUAUUAAUUUGUGAAUGCAUGUAUGUGUUUUUCAGCUCAUAUCCAAUGACAAGUUCAAAAGCGUUGAACACAGAGUAUUAGCCAACAAUAGGAGUUCGAGGGUAUCCGUGCCAAGCUUCUUCGGCACAAAUGAAUUACCAUCCUCCAAGCUGUAUGGGCCUAUUAAGGAGUUAUUAUCCGAUGAGAACCCCCCACGUAUAGGCCAACAACCGUGAGAGACUACGUACUCUAUUACAAUGCCAAAGGACUGGAUGGUAACUCCGCCUUGUCGCAUUUCAGGCUAUAAAAUUUUAUAUACUAUAUAAUUAUAUAUAUAGUACAAAAGUGAAAAUGAUCAUGCAUGUUAUGAGAUGGGUAUUAGUUAUAAAAUAUAGAAAAUAGUUUAAAUAAUUAAAACUUAGUAUUUGUUAUCACAUGGUAUUUGGCUCAUCUCAUAAUUUUCAUGAGGUCGAGCCUUAGAAAGGAAGGGGUGUGUGUCAAUGUAGAGGGGAAAAAAACUUAGUAUUUGUGUGUUUGGUUUGUCGUUUGUGUAUAAAUAUAUAUUUAUUUAUCAUAAUAAAUAUAUAUUAUUGAGAGGGAGACUGUUAAGAUAUCACAAGUAAGUUGGAGAUAAAUAACGAAUGAUUAAUAUAUACUACAUGAAUGUGUAGAAAGAGCUAAUAUUCAGAUAUCUAGGGUCGUUGAUGAUGAACAUGCAUUCACAGCGGCAGGUAGGUUUUGCCACAAAAUUCUAAACACUAAACACACGAGUCCUUGAAAAGGUAUUUACUCUCGAAUAUAUCAACUGAGCAAACCCCCACUCUUUAUUAUCCUACGCAAACGCCAUGAUUUACUAUCAUUAUCUACAACUGUAAAUAGCUCCAAAAAUUAAUGAUUAUUAGUUAAUUAAUUAAGAGUUAAUUGCAUAUUAUAUCCCCAAGUAUACAUCUUUUUUAGCAUUCGUAUCCCGAUGUUUAAACGGUCCCAUCCCGUUACCCCAAGGCCCAAGCAGUGGAGAAGCCAGAAAAUUUCAUCAGUGGGGUCGAAAUUACUACUAAGUUACAAAAAAAAUUGGCGGGGGUUCGGGGACAAUUUUUUUUAAUACUUUAUACUUUCGGGUAUAUAUAUAUAUUAUAUUACAAUGAAAAUAUAAAGAGUAAUAAUAUAUGGUAUAUAUACACUAUAUUGACUCAUAAUAAACUUUUUUAAUCACAAAUGUUCAUAAAUUAGAUUAAGUUUAAAAUAUUAUAGAGAGAUACAUAUAUUGAAAGGAUAUGAGUCAUAUGUAAUUAAAAUUUGAUUGACAAAGUUAUAAAUUUUCAAUUUGACCCCGUAUAAUAAAAAAUUUAUAAAAUUUUAGUGGGGUCAAUUUAUAUAUAAUAUUUUAAAAUUUUAAAAUUCACCUUAUAUUAUAAAGUAAUUUUUUUUCAGUGGGGCCGAUUCACCCCACAAAGUUGACGUGACUUCGCAACUAACCCUAAGUACCUUUAAGUAAGCAUAACUGAUCUUUUUGUAAUUUUCAGCCAUUUAAAUUGUGACACGCGGCCAUUUUCCGGCAAACAAAUUGACCAAAAAUAAAAUAAAGCGUUAAUUGCACUUUAUGGCCUCCAAGUUUUACCGGUUUUACAAUUGGUUCCCAAAGUAAAAAUCUUCCCAAUAUAGACCCUAAAGUAUGUUUAAGUAACCGAACUAAACCCUUUAUGAUAUUCCAACAAGAUUUUAGCCGGAAAUACUUGAAAAAUACGGUUUGACCAUAUUUGACUUAUUAGAUUGGUAUAAAAUAUAUAUAAAUACUUAUUUUAACGUAUUAAAUUCGUAUAAAUCCUUAUAAUAGAUAAACUUAGAACUAAAAAUACAAAGAAAAAAACUAUAAACUAUAUCUUAUCUUUCUAUUCAGGGUCGACCCUGAGUUUUUAAUGGCCUAAAGCGACAAUAAAAAAAUUUGGGCCUAUUUUAUUGGAAAAUUUUUUUGUCAUCCUUUAAAUUUAAACUAACGUGUGCUUGUUUCUUUUGUUUUGGUAUAUAUAUAUAUAUACAUAACACAAAGGGCAAAUAUCUCUUGGAGGCCCUAAAUAAUUAUCAAUUUUAAUGAACCUAAAAUCCAGACACUUUGAGCUUUAGCCCAGGACCGGUGUUGUUUCUAUUAUAAUUACAUUAUGAGGGAUGGGGGUAGAGAUUUGAACCCUCGCGUACGGCUACACAAUGGUGUGAGGGGUGGGAUUCUGACCACAAGGUUUAGGUUGUGGACAAAAAUCUCCAUCUAAAAGCAUUAUUUAAGUUGUAAAAGUUUGAUAUCGUUUAUUUUCACACUUAUUCAACCUCUCUCUUCUAAGUGUGCCUAUUUAAAUUUCAUGGACACUAAUCAGGUUUGCUUACAAAAUAUUACAAAAUUAUAAAAUCUCUAAUUUGUAAUAUUUUUGAUACUUCGAUAACGAGAAUGUAACAAAAAAAGUUUUAGUAACCAAAUUAAAAAUCGACCCCAAAUACAAUGACCAAAACAUCAAUUGACGCGAUCCACGUCACCUGCCACAUAAUUAACAAAUGUCAAUCGUUAGCCUACUCAGCACUUCAGUUAUGUUGGACAGAAUCAUAAGUAUGCGUUUGUAACAAAAAAAAUUCAAUAACCAUAAUGAAAAUUACCUCUAGUACAGUGACCAAAAUGUCAAUAAACUCGUACUUGUAGAACGUUCAUUUUUUAGGACAUGUAAUAAGUUUCUUCAGUUCUACUUCUACAUGUCCACAAGGUUUUUCUUUUUGGCAUUAUUGUAUACAAUUACAUUACGAGGGAUGGUGAGUAGAGAUUUGAACCCACACGGCUACGCUAUGGUGUGGGGUGGAAUUCUGUCCACAAGGUUUAGGUUGUGGACAAAAAUCUCCAUCUAAAAACAUGAAUUAUUUUUGGUUGGAACUUUUACUAGGACUAGCUAGCUAUUAUGCUCCGAUACACUUGAUGUUUGACCAAAUAGAUACAUAUCUUGUGACCUUUAAGAAAGAGCAAAAAUGAUACGUAACUAUGUUUCAAAGUUGAACUCGAAUUCUCUUUGUUUGUGAGAAAAUGAUUUAUAUGUUGAUUAGUUUUAUGUCGAAUGGGAAUUAAUGUCAUUAAAGUGGAACAAUAAAGAUAGAAUAGUGGUAUGCGAGUCACUUCUUAUAUACAUAAAUUUGUUGUCAUACAACACUCUUGUUUAUAUUAUUCUGCAUUUUCUGACAUCCACUAGAAUUAUUUGUGGCCCUGAUAAAUGAACACAAACUAUAUAGCAACACAAACUUUAUUCUGUGUUUGAUAGUCGAUAUACCCCCACCCCCUUCAACUUCUCCACAAAAACUCCAAGAAAAAAUGGCCACAAAUGAAGUUCAGCUCUCAACUGAACCGAACUACGACAGAAAAGCAGAACUAAAAGCCUUUGAUGACACAAAAUCCGGUGUGAAAGGACUAGUUGAUUCCGGUAUCGCCAAGGUCCCUCAAAUUUUUAUCCCAUCACCAGAAAAUAUAGACAAAUUCAUAUCCAAUAAUCCAAGCAAAACCCCAUUAAGUUUCCCAAUUAUAGACCUUGAUGAAUUAGGCCUAAUUCAUCGCAACAAGAUAGUUGAAAAAAUCCGGGAGGCGUCAGAGAGUUGGGGAUUUUUCUUGGUGAUCAAUCAUGGUAUUAAAGGUAGCAUUUUGGAGGAGGUUAUGGAUGGUGUACGCAGGUUUCAUGAGCAAGAAAAUGAGGUGAAGAAAGAAUGGUACACGCGUGAUGCGACCAAACCAUUUGGGUAUAAUAGCAACUUUGAUUUGUAUAGUGCUAGUGCACCUGCAGCUAACUGGAGGGAUACCUUUUUGUGCAUGAUGGCUCCUAAUCCUCCCAAUCCACAAGACUUGCCAGCAGCAUGUAGGUAUGUUGUAGAUAGCAUGCAUGCAUGUACAUCUGGCUUAGACUACUAUAUAUAUAUAUAUAUAUAUAUAUAUAUAUAUAUAUAUAUAUAUAUAUAUAUAUAUAUAUAUAUAUAUAUAUAUAUAUAUAUUUUUAUUCAUCAUCAUGUCUACUUCUUUCAUUAUUAUUUUUUUAUGUUUUGCAGAGAUAUUCUGAUUCAGUACUCAAAGGAAGUAAUGAAACUAGGAUUGAGUUUGUUGGAGUUAUUGUCAGAAGCUCUUGGUCUCCAUCCAAACUACCUUAACAACAUUGAUUGUGGUGAGGGGCUUAUGGUGCUAGGCCACUAUUAUCCAGUGUGCCCGCAACCAGAAGUGACUUUAGGCACCAGCAAGCAUGCUGAUAAUGAUUUUCUUACCGUGCUUCUCCAAGAUCAUAUUGGAGGUCUCCAAGUUCUUCAUCAGAAUCAGUGGGUUGAUGUACC